This 58-nucleotide transfer RNA is filed under the name Rhabditophanes sp. KR3021. Its description in RNAcentral is "tRNA-Phe". The record is from RNAcentral. Lineage: Eukaryota; Metazoa; Nematoda; Chromadorea; Rhabditida; Alloionematidae.
ACUCUUUUAGUUUAUUUUAUAAAACAUGACUCUGAAGAAGUCAAGAAUUUUAGGAGUA